CUAGGUGCCUAUCGACAGUGGACUAGGUAAAGAAAAUGCAGUACAUAUACAGCUUGAAACUAUGCAGUCAUAAAAAGAGUGAAAUCAUGUCAUUUAAAAAUAAAUAAAUAAAUAAGUAAAUAAAUAAAACUCUUCCAUUCUUUGCAAAAUUAUUUGAACAUUCCUUGUAUUAAAUAGCAAACUGCAAAAGUACGAUGGACUUAAGGUCAUUGGAAACUGAUCUAUACAGAUGACCUGCACAAAUACUAGAUAUGCCAAACAGGCCAUAGAAUCUGCUGUUUAUCUUAUUCUUCUUUAUAUUAAAAAUAACCCUAAACCUCUUUUUCCUUCUAUAAUUAAAAAUCACUUUGUGGGCUAGGCACAGUGGCCCACACCUGUAACCCCAGCACUUUGGGAGGCCGAGGUGGGCAGAUCACUUGAGGUCAGGAGUUCGAGACCAGCCUGUCCAACAUGGUGAAACCACGUAUCUACUAAAAGUACAAAAAUUAGUCAGGCGUGGUGGCAGGCACCUGUAAUCCCAGCUACUCAGGAGACUGAGGCAGGAGAAUCACUUGAACCUGGGAGGCAGAGAUUUCAGUAAGCUGAGAUCGUACCAUUGCACUCCAGCCUGGGUGACAAGAAUGAAACUCCAUCUCAAAAAUAAAAAAAUAAAAAAUCACUUUGUGGAAAGGGUCUACAAUUGCUGAAAACAAACAAACAAACAAACGAACAUUUUUUUCAUGCAAAAUACUUUCAAUGAUCAUUCCCAAACAGUUCAAGGAAUUGUGCUGGCAGCAAG
RNAcentral lists this long non-coding RNA (778 nucleotides) under Homo sapiens (human). Its description in RNAcentral is "non-protein coding lnc-MRPL39-31:1". Lineage: Eukaryota; Metazoa; Chordata; Mammalia; Primates; Hominidae. The record is from RNAcentral.